CAGAGCCGCGGGAACACGUAGGCGGCAAGCGUUGUCCGGAAUUAUUGGGCGUAAAGCGCGCGCAGGCGGUUUCUUAAGUCUGAUGUGAAAGCCCCCGGCUUAACCGGGGAGGGUCAUUGGAAACUGGGAGACUUAGAGUGCAGAAGAGGAGAGUGGAAUUCCAUGUGUAGCGGUGAAAUGCGUAGAUAUAUGGAGGAACACCAGUGGCGAAGGCGACUCUCUGGUCUGUAACUGACGCUGAGGCGCGAAAGCGUGGGGAGCAAAUAGGAUUAGAUACCCGCGUAGUCCCUGUCUCUUAUAC
RNAcentral lists this ribosomal RNA (301 nucleotides) under uncultured bacterium. RNAcentral's name for it is "partial 16S ribosomal RNA". It matches the Rfam family "Bacterial small subunit ribosomal RNA", at positions 509 to 807 of the family's 1533-position model. The record is from RNAcentral.